UACCUCCUAAAAGUAAACAAAUGGAUGCUGCAGCACUCUGCUGUAAAAACAUGAAAAGUGUGACUAAACAGCGGGAAUUCAAGCCACGAAAAUGCCCGGACAGAAGAAAAAAUACAACGUGCGGUUCCCUCCCGGUCGCAUCAAAAAAAUCAUGCAGAAGGACACAGAAGUCGGGAGGAUAGCGGUGGCAGUUCCGGUGAUCAUCGCCCGGGCUUUGGAGAUGUUCCUGAAGUCUUUGCUGACCAAAACCUGUUUGAUUACUCAGGCGAAGUUCAACAACAUCGUGUCUGUGGCUCACAUGAAGCAGUGCAUAGAGUCAGAAAAACUGUUUCAUUUUCUCAAAGACCUGGCAGAGGGAGCCACAACUACAGCAGCCCAGAAGGACAACCGAGGCAUGAGUAUUUGGCCUCCCUCAUACAGUUUAUUGUCUUUCAAGGAACAAAAAGAGCAACAUCGCCACUAAAAACCCAUCUGGAGAGACUGUUCCCCAAAGGAGCCUCGGCCCACACCAAACCGGCUCAGGCUCAGGCGAGUCGGAGCCCUACAUCUGCUUGUAACGUGGACCUCACAGCAGCACAUCAUUUCUGUUCACGUCAUUAGGCUUUGCAGUGACUCAGCAAAAAAGAAAAACGAAAACAAAAAAACCCCACUGUUCACUACCGGGACAAUAGCCUACAUGAAUCUGACUGUUUUUGGACAGCAAGAGGGAAGAAGUGGAAUUCACACAGCAGUUUGAAUCUGUACCAACAUGCAAAGCUUUGGUAAAGAACAGAACGUCCACGCAGGACGGAUUCCUGCUACUGGAAAUUUUUUUUUUGUUGUUCACAGACUUGAAUACUUUAAGUCUACACUGUGAAAUGUAAGUUUUCUUUUUUUUUGCUUGUCUGCAGAUUUGAGGUUGGCGUCAUGAACUGUUUAACCCCUGAAGCCCUCAAAUGAUUGAUCUUUCAUUUUGUUUCGCCGUCUUUGUGAAUUAUAAGUGCUUUUUUUUUUUUUUAAAUAGCCAUCGGGGUUUCUAUUUUUACAGCACUUGUAAAUAUACAUUUGUUUUUUAAUGAAAUGUGUAAAUAACUCAAGGCAGGAGGUAAAUAAAACUAAGCAAGAGCUUACAGCAGUUUGUUUAUUCCAAGAAACUAUUUCUUUAAACACGGUACUGAGCUGAAGUGAAGAAUAAAUAGUGGAAUUCUG
This is an RNA transcript of Poeciliopsis prolifica (blackstripe livebearer), 1188 nucleotides long. It is a transcript of the gene named dr1-associated corepressor, with no coding region annotated. The transcript has 6 exons. The record is from RefSeq and is a predicted model, not a curated record. NCBI's taxonomy places the organism in Eukaryota, Metazoa, Chordata, Actinopteri, Cyprinodontiformes, Poeciliidae.